GAUGAACGCUGGCGGCGUGCCUAAUACAUGCAAGUCGAGCGAACAGACGAGGAGCUUGCUCCUUCGACGUUAGCGGCGGACGGGUGAGUAACACGUAGGUAACCUACCUAUAAGACUGGGAUAACUUCGAGAAACCGGAGCUAAUACCGGAUAAUAUUUCGAACCGCAUGGUUCGAUAGUGAAAGAUGGCUUUGCUAUCACUUAUAGAUGGACCUGCGCCGUAUUAGCUAGUUGGUAAGGUAACGGCUUACCAAGGCAACGAUACGUAGCCGACCUGAGAGGGUGAUCGGCCACACUGGAACUGAGACACGGUCCAGACUCCUACGGGAGGCAGCAGUAGGGAAUCUUCCGCAAUGGGCGAAAGCCUGACGGAGCAACGCCGCGUGAGUGAUGAAGGUCUUCGGAUCGUAAAACUCUGUUAUUAGGGAAGAACAAACGUGUAAGUAACUGUGCACGUCUUGACGGUACCUAAUCAGAAAGCCACGGCUAACUACGUG
RNAcentral lists this ribosomal RNA (497 nucleotides) under uncultured bacterium. Its description in RNAcentral is "partial 16S ribosomal RNA". It matches the Rfam family "Bacterial small subunit ribosomal RNA", at positions 28 to 507 of the family's 1533-position model. The record is from RNAcentral.